UCGACCUGCGCAAUUGUUUUCUCGUUUUCUUUAAAUAUGAAUAUUACGGAUUUAGGCACAGUGUCAUCACUGAAAUCAUUUGCCUUAUCCUGUGUCCAUUAUUGAGUUAGUUUUUAAUUUGUGAUUCCUUGUUACUAAUGCGCAGAAAUACUACGUUUUAACGACAGAAAUAUCAGCAAGCUAGAAAGGUUUAAUGCUAUUGAAAGGCGCCCGUGCGAACGCACACGCACAACAACAAGAACAGCGUUUGUGGCGUAGUUUCCGUUCGUCUUGUGUCCACGCUUGUGCGCCUGCUUUUCAGUAUCAUGAAUGAAACAUUGUUUCAGGAGUAUGAAAUCGGUAGGAGGUUUGUAAUAAUAUUGCUCUGUUGCACUUUUCCCAAGAUUGAUCACACUACUAAAACUGCAUGCUAUGUUUGUGUAAAUAAAUGU
Long non-coding RNA from Dermacentor silvarum, 431 nucleotides. RefSeq lists it as uncharacterized. NCBI's taxonomy places the organism in Eukaryota, Metazoa, Arthropoda, Arachnida, Ixodida, Ixodidae. The record is from RefSeq and is a predicted model, not a curated record. The transcript has 2 exons.